UAAAAACUCCUAAACCCCUGUGAACUUACUAGGUUGGAUUCUCGCCAGAGAUAGUCUGGUUUCUGCAGACGGAUCGCCUGUCCGUGACACCUGUCACAGGCAGGUAUGCUUCUGUAGCGGGGCCGCAGGCAAAUCGUCUGUUCCACAAGGUCUGCCUAGUGGACGGCGAUUUACCUGUGGAAGAGAUCCUCUAACUAUAUACUUUUUAUAAAAUCUGUGAACUUACUAGGUUGGAUUCUCGCCAGAGAUAGUCUGGUUUCUGCUUCGCGGAUCGCCUGCCUGUGACAGGUGUCACAGGCAGGACAUGCCUCUGCCGCGGGUCCGAAGGUAAAUCGUCUGUUUCACAAGGGACGGCGAUUUACCUGUGGAAGAGGUCCUCUAACUAUAUUAUUAUAAAAUCUAAACUUACAUGGUUUGACGCGGCAGUCUACCUCGCGAGACCCCACCCUGGGGAACUCGCAGAGUGGGCAUCGAUCAGCCUUGUCUAUUUAGGUUUGACUCACCAGUUGAAUGAUCCUGGUCCGCAAGCCUUCACACCCUGCCUGCCUGUGAUAUAUGUUAUGGGCAGGUAGGCUUUGGUAGCGGGGUCACGUUUAAAUCGUAAGUCCAUCCGGUGUCCACUGGAUGGUGGUUUAUCCGGGGCAAGCAGUCAACCUGACCUUGUUUGUUCACUAGAUCAAACAUUCUGAAUAAAAAACUUAAACUAGUUAAAACUUUCAACAACGGAUCUCUUGGUUCUGGCAUCGAUGAAGAACGCAGCGAAAUGCGAUAAGUAAUGUGAAUUGCAGAAUUCAGUGAAUCAUCGAAUCUUUGAACGCACAUUGCGCCCAUUAGUAUUCUAGUGGGCAUGCCUGUUCGAGCGUCAUUUCAACCCUUAAGCCCCUGUUGCUUAGCGUUGGGAGCCUACAGCCUGCUGUAGCUCCUUAAAAGUAGUGGCGGAGUCGGUUCACACUCUAGACGUAGUAAAAUCUUUAUCUCGCCUAUAGAUGAGCCGGCGCCUUGCCGUAAAACCCCUAAUCUUUCACAAGGUUGACCUCGGAUCAGGUAGGAAUACCCGCUGAACUUAAGCAUAUCAAUAAGCGGAGGAAAAGAAACCAACAGGGAUUGCCCUAGUAACGGCGAGUGAAGCGGCAACAGCUCAAAUUUGAAAUCUGGCCUUCGGGUCCGAGUUGUAAUUUGUAGAGGAUGCUUUGGGUGCGGUGCCUUCCGAGUUCCCUGGAACGGGACGCCUUAGAGGGUGAGAGCCCCGUACGGUUGGACACCAAGCCUCUGUAAAGCUCCUUCGACGAGUCGAGUAGUUUGGGAAUGCUGCUCUAAAUGGGAGGUAAAUUUCUUCUAAAGCUAAAUAUUGGCCAGAGACCGAUAGCGCACAAGUAGAGUGAUCGAAAGAUGAAAAGCACUUUGAAAAGAGGGUUAAAUAGCACGUGAAAUUGUUGAAAGGGAAGCGUUUGCGACCAGACCUUUUCCCAGCGGAUCAUCCGGUGUUCUCACCGGUGCACUUCGCUGGGUUGAGGCCAGCAUCGGUUUCCGCAGGGGGAUAAAAGCCUGGGGAACGUAGCUCCCUCGGGAGUGUUAUAGCCCCUCGCAUAAUACCCUUGCGGGGACCGAGGACCGCG
Molecule: ribosomal RNA, 1616 nt
Filed under: Xylaria sp. genotype 253
Lineage: Eukaryota; Fungi; Ascomycota; Sordariomycetes; Xylariales; Xylariaceae
Description: eukaryotic LSU rRNA
Rfam family: Eukaryotic large subunit ribosomal RNA (bases 1031-1616)
Source: RNAcentral